RNAcentral lists this ribosomal RNA (497 nucleotides) under uncultured bacterium. RNAcentral's name for it is "partial 16S ribosomal RNA". It matches the Rfam family "Bacterial small subunit ribosomal RNA", at positions 28 to 507 of the family's 1533-position model. The record is from RNAcentral.
GAUGAACGCUGGCGGCGUGCCUAAUACAUGCAAGUCGAGCGAACAGACGAGGAGCUUGCUCCUCUGACGUUAGCGGCGGACGGGUGAGUAACACGUGGAUAACCUACCUAUAAGACUGGGAUAACUUCGGGAAACCGGAGCUAAUACCGGAUAAUAUAUUGAACCGCAUGGUUCAAUAGUGAAAGACGGUUUUGCUGCCACUUAUAGAUGGAUCCGCGCCGCAUUAGCUAGUUGGUAAGGUAACGGCUUACCAAGGCAACGAUGCGUAGCCGACCUGAGAGGGUGAUCGGCCACACUGGAACUGAGACACGGUCCAGACUCCUACGGGAGGCAGCAGUAGGGAAUCUUCCGCAAUGGGCGAAAGCUUGACGGAGCAACGCCGCGUGAGUGAUGAAGGUCUUCGGAUCGUAAAGCUCUGUUAUUAGGGAAGAACAAAUGUGUAAGUAACUAUGCACGUCUUGACGGUACCUAAUCAGAAAGCCCCGGCUAACUACGUG